RNAcentral lists this ribosomal RNA (253 nucleotides) under uncultured bacterium. RNAcentral describes it as "partial 16S ribosomal RNA". It matches the Rfam family "Bacterial small subunit ribosomal RNA", at positions 524 to 776 of the family's 1533-position model. The record is from RNAcentral.
UACGUAGGGUGCAAGCGUUAUCCGGAAUCACUGGGCGUAAAGCGUGCGUAGGUGGUUUGCUAAGUGAAAUGUUAAAUCGUGUGGCUCAACCAUAUCGAUGCAUCUCAUACUGGCAGACUAGAGGACGGCAGAGGCAAGUGGAAUUGGUAGUGUAGCAGUGAAAUGCGUAGAUAUUACCAGGAACACCAAUGGCGAAGGCAGCUUGCUGGGCCGCCCCUGACACUGAGGUACGAAAGCGUGGGGAGCGAACAGG